This 874-nucleotide ribosomal RNA is filed under the name uncultured Actinomycetes bacterium. RNAcentral's name for it is "bacterial SSU rRNA". It matches the Rfam family "Bacterial small subunit ribosomal RNA", at positions 643 to 1510 of the family's 1533-position model. Lineage: Bacteria; Bacillati; Actinomycetota; Actinomycetes. The record is from RNAcentral.
AGAGUGCAGUAGGGGAGACUGGAAUUCCCUGGUGUAGCGGUGAAAUGCGCAGAUAUCAGGAGGAACACCGAUGGCGAAGGCAGGUCUCUGGGCUGUAACUGACGCUGAGGAGCGAAAGCAUGGGUAGCGAACAGGAUUAGAUACCCUGGUAGUCCAUGCCGUAAACGUUGGGCACUAGGUGUGGGGGACAUUCCACGUUUUCCGCGCCGUAGCUAACGCAUUAAGUGCCCCGCCUGGGGAGUACGGCCGCAAGGCUAAAACUCAAAGGAAUUGACGGGGGCCCGCACAAGCGGCGGAGCAUGCGGAUUAAUUCGAUGCAACGCGAAGAACCUUACCAAGGCUUGACAUGGACUAGAUCGCCGCAGAGAUGCGGUUUCCCUUCGGGGCUGGUUCACAGGUGGUGCAUGGUUGUCGUCAGCUCGUGUCGUGAGAUGUUGGGUUAAGUCCCGCAACGAGCGCAACCCUCGUUCUAUGUUGCCAGCACGUUAUGGUGGGGACUCAUAGGAGACUGCCGGGGUCAACUCGGAGGAAGGUGGGGACGACGUCGAAUCAUCAUGCCCCUUAUGUCUUGGGCUUCACGCAUGCUACAAUGGCCGGUACAAAGGGUUGCGAUACUGUGAGGUGGAGCUAAUCCCAAAAAGCCGGUCUCAGUUCGGAUUGGGGUCUGCAACUCGACCCCAUGAAGUCGGAGUUGCUAGUAAUCGCAGAUCAGCAACGCUGCGGUGAAUACGUUCCCGGGCCUUGUACACACCGCCCGUCAAGUCACGAAAGUUGGUAACACCCGAAGCCGGUGGCCUAACCCCUUGUGGGAGGGAGCUGUCGAAGGUGGGACUGGCGAUUGGGACUAAGUCGUAACAAGGUACCAAUCCCGCGG